GGACCCUGCUGACUUCCAGGCAGGUGGAAACUGGAUUGAUAGAAAUCCAGCGCGGGGAGGCUGUGCUGAGAGGAGGGACGCCCCUGCCCUGCGCCUCCCGCUCCCCAUCUCUGGCUGGUAUCCCGGUUACAGAAUGAGGGUCCGUGGUGCAACAGAAAGAAUGAGCCACUGAUACACUCAUCAGCUUGCUCGGAUCUCCCGGGGAGUUACGCUGGUGAGAGAAACCAGUCCCAAAGGUCACUCACCGACGGCGCCGCUGGUGUACUGGUAUUAUGCAAGAUGCCCUCGCAAAGGUCACGCACGGAUGGUUCAUUUAUCCAAAGACCAAAGGAGAGAAAUGCAGGACUCAUUAGCAGUGCCCAGGAGAUAGGGGGGCGGGUGGGUGUGGCUAUAAAAACGCAACCCGGGGGGUGCCUGUGAAGGAAAUCUGCGUCCCGCGGAACGCAACACGCUGUUGGGAUACUGGAUUGUCCUUUGUGAGAUGCCACUAUCGGGGGAAACCGGAUGGCUUCACAGAAAAAGUUCGUUUAAAGGAAAAUGGUUUAAGGCCAAGGAAAUACCUAGAAAACGGAAAGUCUUGAAACCAGAGCCGGAAAAAGAAUGCCUGUGUUUCGAAGUUCCUUCUUAGGACGAAACCAGCUGAAGCUGGCGAAAUCCAAGAUGGCGCCUCUGAAGAGCCUCUGGCUUUAUCAUCAUCCUGUUCUCAUGCUAAACAACAUGUCGCCAUGACAACGACUGGAAGAGACCAAGAAGGGACAGAAAAAAAGGGGUUUCUUGAUUCCGGGAAAAAUCUCCGUUCUUUCCCAAGGAAAGCACGAAUAUUCCCCCCCGUGCUCUUAAUGCCCAGCCCCUUCAUUAAAGACACCCUACCUCUGAAACUUCCCAGCUCUCACAAGCUAAGUUGAUUUCAGAUCUUCCAAUUCCAUAGCCAUUGAAUACAGCCUGCACUGCUUGACACACUCCCUUUCGGUUUCGUGCAUUGGCCUCACCACGCAACAGGAAACAACCCUUUUUGGGAUAACCGGGACUCCCGGUAACAUUUCCAUAUAUACAUAUCUUAAUGUAUGCAAGGGCGUCUGGGGGAGAAAGAAGCAGCACAUUUCAUUCUUUGCUUUCUAUAAUACUGGAUUGCUUGAGUUUGUGACACAUGUUAACAUUUGCAACAUUUUUAAACUAAAUUGUAUGUAUUAUAGAACAGUCCUCUGCGCUGAGCUUGGACUUAAAGUGGAAAGGCUUACAUUUGCAGAAUUAAAAAAAGCAUCGAAACA
This 1268-nucleotide long non-coding RNA is filed under the name Homo sapiens (human). RNAcentral describes it as "NQO2 antisense RNA 1 (NQO2-AS1)". Lineage: Eukaryota; Metazoa; Chordata; Mammalia; Primates; Hominidae. The record is from RNAcentral.